Molecule: ribosomal RNA, 333 nt
Filed under: uncultured eukaryote
Lineage: Eukaryota
Description: partial 18S ribosomal RNA
Rfam family: Eukaryotic small subunit ribosomal RNA
Source: RNAcentral
CCCUUAGAUGUUCUGGGCCGCACGCGCGCUACACUGUUCGACGCAGCGAGUCUUAACCUUGACCGAAAGGUUUGGGUAAUCUUCAGCAAAGUCGAACGUGAUGGGGAUCGAUCAUUGCAAUUAUUGAUCGUGAACGAGGAAUUCCUAGUAAGUGCAAGUCAUCAGCUUGCGCUGAUUACGUCCCUGCCCUUUGUACACACCGCCCGUCGCUACUGCCAACUGAGAUGGGUCCUGAAUUGUUAGGAACGCCCGUCAAGGGGCCUACCCGGUCCCUAGUGCGGUGACGAGAAUAACUGUAAAUGGCAUAUCUUGUAGGGAGUAAAAGUCGUAACA